Molecule: long non-coding RNA, 352 nt
Filed under: Mytilus galloprovincialis (Mediterranean mussel)
Lineage: Eukaryota; Metazoa; Mollusca; Bivalvia; Mytilida; Mytilidae
Source: RNAcentral
AAAAAAGAAAUAGAUUCACAAACUUAUAAUUUCUUGAGGAAUAAUAAUGAAUCAAAACACGGACACAUGUACCUUCUUCCAAAAGUUCAUAAAAUUAAUCUAGAAAUUAUUAAUGAGGCAUUCCGAACUGGUCAAAUAGUUGGAAACAUAAACAUUCCUUACCGACCAAUCAUCAAUAAGUGUAACUCUCCCACGAGACGCAUUGAAAGAUUACUGGGUCUAAUCUUAAAACCAUUAUUGAAGAGGCAUAACUUUUACAUUCAAGAUACAAAAGACUUCAUUAAUAAAAUAGAGUCACACGAGGUCACAAAAGAAUGCAUCCUUAUUGCCUAUGAUGUAACGUCGAUGUAGC